RNAcentral lists this ribosomal RNA (1104 nucleotides) under Colwellia sp. C1TZA3. RNAcentral describes it as "Bacterial large subunit ribosomal RNA". It matches the Rfam family "Bacterial large subunit ribosomal RNA", at positions 1771 to 2869 of the family's 2925-position model. Lineage: Bacteria; Pseudomonadati; Pseudomonadota; Gammaproteobacteria; Alteromonadales; Colwelliaceae. The record is from Rfam by way of RNAcentral.
GGAGAGUCGAAGUAACCAGGUGGCUGGAACUGUUUAUUAAAAACACAGCACUGUGCAAAAUCGAAAGAUGACGUAUACGGUGUGACGCCUGCCCGGUGCCGGAAGGUUAAUUGAUUGGGUUAUCUUCGGAGAAGCUCAUGAUCGAAGCCCCGGUAAACGGCGGCCGUAACUAUAACGGUCCUAAGGUAGCGAAAUUCCUUGUCGGGUAAGUUCCGACCUGCACGAAUGGCGUAAUCAUGGCCACACUGUCUCCACCCGAGACUCAGUGAAAUUGAAAUUGCGGUUAAGAUGCCGUAUACCCGCGGCUAGACGGAAAGACCCCGUGAACCUUUACUAUAGCUUGACAGUGAACAUUGCUCCUACAUGUGUAGGAUAGGUGGGAGACUAUGAAACCAUGUCGCCAGAUGUGGUGGAGUCUACCUUGAAAUACCACCCUUGUAUGCGUGAUGUUCUAACCUAGGGCCCUAAUCGGGCUUGGGGACACUGUCUGGUGGGUAGUUUGACUGGGGCGGUCUCCUCCUAAAGAGUAACGGAGGAGCACGAAGGUUGGCUAAGUACGGUCGGACAUCGUACGGUUAGUGCAAUGGCAUAAGCCAGCUUAACUGCGAGACAGACACGUCGAGCAGGUACGAAAGUAGGUCAUAGUGAUCCGGUGGUUCUGUAUGGAAGGGCCAUCGCUCAACGGAUAAAAGGUACUCCGGGGAUAACAGGCUGAUACCGCCCAAGAGUUCAUAUCGACGGCGGUGUUUGGCACCUCGAUGUCGGCUCAUCACAUCCUGGGGCUGAAGUCGGUCCCAAGGGUAUGGCUGUUCGCCAUUUAAAGUGGUACGCGAGCUGGGUUUAGAACGUCGUGAGACAGUUCGGUCCCUAUCUGCCGUGGGCGUUUGAGAAUUGAAGAGGGCUGCUCCUAGUACGAGAGGACCGGAGUGGACGAACCGCUGGUGUUCGGGUUGUUAUGCCAAUAGCAUUGCCCGGUAGCUACGUUCGGAACUGAUAACCGCUGAAAGCAUCUAAGCGGGAAGCAGGCUUUGAGAUGAGUUCUCACUGGAGCUUUAAGCUCCCUAAAGGGUCGUUGGAGACUACAACGUUGAUAGGUUGGGUGUG